Molecule: ribosomal RNA, 906 nt
Filed under: uncultured archaeon
Lineage: Archaea
Description: bacterial SSU rRNA
Rfam family: Archaeal small subunit ribosomal RNA
Source: RNAcentral
CCCUACUGCUAUCGGGGCGGGACUAAGACAUGCAAGUCGUGCGUCUCUAAGCCAUGGUAGAGACGCGGCGUACGGCUCAGUAACACGUGGCUAACCUACCCUUAGGACGGAGACAACCCCGGGAAACUGGGGCUAAUACCCGAUAGGUGAGGAGGCCUGGAAUGGUUCUUCGCUGAAAAGGCGUUGAAACCAUGCUUUUCAACGUCGCCUAAGGAUGGGGCCGCGUCCGAUCAGGUUGUUGGUGGGGUAACGGCUCACCAAGCCUAUAACCGGUACGGGCCGUGAGAGCGGGAGCCCGGAGAUGGGCACUGAGAUAAGGGCCCAGGCCCUACGGGGCGCAGCAGUCGCGAAAACUCCGCAAUGCGCGAAAGCGUGACGGGGCUACCCCGAGUGCCGUCCGCUGAGGAUGGCUUUUCCCCGGUGUAAUGAGCCGGGGGAAUAAGGAGAGGGCAAGUCUGGUGUCAGCCGCCGCGGUAAUACCAGCUCUCCGAGUAGUAGGGACGAUUAUUGGGCUUAAAGCGUCCGUAGCCGGCUUAGCAAGUCUCCUGUUAAAUUCAGCGACCUAAUCGUUGAGCCGCGGGAGAUACUACUAGGCUAGGAGGCGGGAGAGGCCGACGGUAUUUCCGGGGUAGGGGUGAAAUCCUAUAAUCCCGGGAGGACCACCAGUGGCGAAGGCUGUCGGCUAGAACGCGCUCGACGGUGAGGGACGAAAGCUGGGGGAGCGAACCGGAUUAGAUACCCGGGUAGUCCCAGCUGUAAACGAUGCGGGCUAGGUGUUGAGGUGGCUACGAGCCACUUCAGUGCCGCAGGGAAGCCCUUAAGCCCGCCGCCUGGGGAGUACGGCCGCAAGGCUGAAACUUAAAGGAAUUGGCGGGGGAGCACCACAAGGCGUGAAGCUUGCGGUUC